RNAcentral lists this transfer RNA (91 nucleotides) under Candidatus Wolfebacteria bacterium CG10_big_fil_rev_8_21_14_0_10_31_9. Its description in RNAcentral is "tRNA-Ser". It matches the Rfam family "tRNA". From Rfam's summary of the family: Transfer RNA (tRNA) molecules are approximately 80 nucleotides in length. Their secondary structure includes four short double-helical elements and three loops (D, anti-codon, and T loops). The record is from RNAcentral. Lineage: Bacteria; Candidatus Wolfeibacteriota.
GGAGAGGUGGCUGAGCGGUCGAAAGCGGCACACUGCUAAUGUGUCGAGCCUCAAAAGGGCUCCCAGGGUUCGAAUCCCUGCCUCUCCGCCA